UGGAUAUGAUGACUGAUUACCUGAGAAAUGUGAUGAAAUCUCAAGAGAAUUCCUCUAGAUAGUCAAGUUCUGAUCCAG
This is a small nucleolar RNA of Jaculus jaculus (lesser Egyptian jerboa), 78 nucleotides long. RefSeq annotates it as small nucleolar RNA SNORD20. Lineage: Eukaryota; Metazoa; Chordata; Mammalia; Rodentia; Dipodidae. The record is from RefSeq and is a predicted model, not a curated record. The transcript has a single exon.